Molecule: ribosomal RNA, 208 nt
Filed under: uncultured bacterium
Lineage: Bacteria
Description: partial 16S ribosomal RNA
Rfam family: Bacterial small subunit ribosomal RNA
Source: RNAcentral
CGCGCAGGCGGUCGGUCAAGUCGAGUGUGAAAGCCCCCGGCUCAACUGGGGAGGGUCAUUCGAUACUGAUCGACUCGAAGGCAGGAGAGGGUAGUGGAAUUCCCGGUGUAGUGGUGAAAUGCGUAGAUAUCGGGAGGAACACCAGUGGCGAAGGCGACUACCUGGCCUGUUCUUGACGCUGAGGCGCGAAAGCUAGGGGAGCAAACGG